UUUCCGUAGGUGAACCUGCGGAAGGAUCAUUAACAAAAAUCAAAAAUUCAAAACAAUAAACAACACCAAUUUCAUUCCAAAAUUAUAUUGGAAUGUUUUUUUAAUGGGGAUGUGGAGAUUUCUAAUUUUUUUAAUUAGAUUUUUCUCAUGCUCCAUCAUUUAAAACUCUUAAAAAAACAAAUUCAAAAAUUAUUCCAAAAAUCACUAAAAUAUAAAAAUAGAGACAACUUUUAACAAUGGAUCUCUUGGCUCUC
RNAcentral lists this unclassified non-coding RNA (254 nucleotides) under plant metagenome. RNAcentral describes it as "partial contains small subunit ribosomal RNA, internal transcribed spacer 1, and 5.8S ribosomal RNA". The record is from RNAcentral.